Molecule: ribosomal RNA, 118 nt
Filed under: uncultured eukaryote
Lineage: Eukaryota
Description: partial small subunit ribosomal RNA
Source: RNAcentral
GUCGGCUGUACCAGAAGUGCGUGGGCCAACUCUGCGGAGGGGCAGCGUCCCAAGGUAUGGUCGGUGAUUGGGGUGAAGUCGUAACAAGGUAGCCGUAGGUGAACCUGCAGAAGGAYMA